This 808-nucleotide ribosomal RNA is filed under the name uncultured bacterium. RNAcentral's name for it is "bacterial SSU rRNA". It matches the Rfam family "Bacterial small subunit ribosomal RNA", at positions 1 to 803 of the family's 1533-position model. The record is from RNAcentral.
UUAGAGUUUGAUCCUGGCUCAGGAUGAACGCUAGCGAUAGGCUUAACACAUGCAAGUCGAGGGGCAGCAUGGUCUUAGCUUGCUAAGACUGAUGGCGACCGGCGCACGGGUGCGUAACGCGUAUGCAACUUGCCUCACAGAGGGGGAUAACCCGUCGAAAGACGGACUAAUACCGCGUACACUCUAUGUUAGGCAUCCAAUGUAGAGGAAAUGAAAUUCGCUGUGAGAUAGGCAUGCGUCCCAUUAGCUAGUUGGUGAGGUAACGGCCCACCAAGGCAACGAUCAGUAGGGGUUCUGAGAGGAAGGUCCCCCACAUUGGAACUGAGACACGGUCCAAACUCCUACGGGAGGCAGCAGUGAGGAAUAUUGGUCAAUGGACGGAAGUCUGAACCAGCCAAGUAGCGUGCAGGAAGACGGCCCUAUGGGUUGUAAACUGCUUUUGUAUGGGGAUAAAGUCAAUCACGUGUGAUUGUUUGCAGGUACCAUACGAAUAAGGACCGGCUAAUUCCGUGCCAGCAGCCGCGGUAAUACGGAAGGUUCGGGCGUUAUCCGGAUUUAUUGGGUUUAAAGGGAGCGUAGGCCGGAGAUUAAGUGUGUUGUGAAAUGUAGACGCUCAACGUCUGACUUGCAGCGCAUACUGGUUUCCUUGAGUACGCACAACGUUGGCGGAAUUCGUCGUGUAGCGGUGAAAUGCUUAGAUAUGACGAAGAACUCCGAUUGCGAAGGCAGCUGACGGGAGCGCAACUGACGCUGAAGCUCGAAGGUGCGGGUAUCGAACAGGAUUAGAUACCCUGGUAGUCCGCACAGU